AUGUUGCUUUAUUUUUUACUUUAUAUCGUAAUAUGUUCGUAUUCUGAUUUUUCAGAGGGUGAAACUGUUUCUUAAAAUGUUAAUAAAAAUUUGGUCUAUUCAAGAAAGUUAAGCCUUAUUUUAAUGAAAUGCUUGCAAUGUAUCAGUGCAGAACAAAGUAGAGUAGAGGUUUGCAAUUUAUCAGUGAACUUAAGUGGAGAAAAGAGCAAAUUCAAGGAACUCAGAUCUGCAAGAGCAAUUCAGUCCUGGAUUGUCUGGACUGUCUAUUCUCCCAACUGUAUUGGAAAAGCCGACUCCCACUGUGUAGGGAACAGGACCGAACCAGGAAAAUCAUGUCAUAGAAUGAACGCUGAGUUCUUAACUCUCAAAGAAAUAACUUCAAGGUUUCAACACACAGAUUCACAUUCAUCCUCAGAAGAAACCUGCUUUAAGAACCUCUGAAAAGAACAACACACAGAACACAGUAUGUAAGCCCCAAAACUGUAGUUUUCAUGUGAGCACAAGUUCUCUUUAAGUGAAGAAAACCACUGGAAGUGUAGUCAGCUCUACUUAUGAAAGGGACAUAAAUAUUUCUCUGCAACACAUGAUAAAGACACGGAGUUUAAUUGUGCACAGUGCUCAAAAGCAAUCACCAAAGAUUUGUCAUCGAAGCCAACCCUGGUAUCUGGCCUGGUAAUAUGUGAGUGUAUCAACCCCGCUUCCCCUAACAGAAUCUGGGUCUCCCCAUUUGUUUUAUUCUUCCUGAUCCUAAAACAAUGGAAUUUCUUGUUGACAAUUAUAUAUGCCAUCAAUGAAGUACAUCCUUUUCUUAAUAUCCCAAGCAUGGAACAGACUUUUGUGUUCUUUCAUCUUGAAGGAGCUCAAAUUUCUUUUGUUGAGUUACUCAUGACCCUGUAUGAUUUUACCUCUUAAGACUACUCAGCUCAUCCCAGUUUUCCUAAGAUAUUCCUGAUUUAGGCACUCAAAGGCCUGUGCCCCAGGAAACUCCUUAGUCCUAGGAAAGUCAGGACACUUGGGCACCUUACUUCUUUGUUGACAAUCCCAACCUAAAAUAACUUCUUUGCUUCUAAAUUUUUAUGUGACAUGUUUGGCAUUUACAUUCAUUUGGUACUUUUAGAGUUCAUAUUUUGUCAUGUGUAAAGCAUUUUACCACCUCAUUAGACUUCAAUUUCUCAAGGAAGCAACAUGGUAUAAAAGAAUUUUCCAUGUUCACUGAUGCCAGACCUGAAUUCAAAUAGUGCCAAUUUUGUUAGCUUGAGAAUUCUUUUCUUUUUUUUUUUUUGUGAGAAAGAUUGGCCCAGAGCUAACAUCUUUGCUAAUAUUCCUCUUUUUGCUUGAGGAAGAUUGUUACUGAUGCUGAGCUAACAUCUGUGACAAUCUUCCUCUAUUUCGUGUGGGAUGCUACCACAGUGUGUCUUGAUAAACAGUGCUAGGUCUAUGCCCAGGAUCCAAAUCUGUGAACACCAGGCUGCCGAAGAGGAGCACUUGAACUUAACUACUAUGCCCGAGGGCCAGCCCCGAGAAUUUUACUAAUUGUUCUUUUAAUAUAAAUUUGUUUAUUUAUGAAAGAAAAACAACAUCUACUGAGCAGAUAUGAUUCUUAGUCCACAAACUCAACUGAGAAAGAAAAGUUUUUAAAAAUAUUUUGUGAAUAAAAUACUAUAUAGAAUCAUAUAUAUGGCAAUCCUAAAUGCAAUGUGAAACACGAUUUUUCUCAGUAACGAGUAUGGAAAAGAUCAUUUUUUCAAUUAUAAUAUAAAACAUGUAGAUAAUGUUGAAAAUAUCUAUUUAUAUUUAAUUGAUGAAUUUAUCUGUCAAUCCAUUUAAAAUCAUAUUAUACAAAAUAAAAAUAUUUAA
RNAcentral lists this long non-coding RNA (1857 nucleotides) under Equus caballus (horse). Its description in RNAcentral is "lncRNA (ENSECAG00000045269.1)". The record is from RNAcentral. Lineage: Eukaryota; Metazoa; Chordata; Mammalia; Perissodactyla; Equidae.